UCCCUGGCGGUCCAAUGGUUAGGACUCAGCGCUUUAACUGCCGUGGCCCCAGGUUCAAUCCCUGGUCAGGGAA
RNAcentral lists this transfer RNA (73 nucleotides) under Balaenoptera acutorostrata scammoni. Its description in RNAcentral is "tRNA-Sup (TTA) (tRNA-Sup-TTA-10-1)". The record is from RNAcentral. Lineage: Eukaryota; Metazoa; Chordata; Mammalia; Artiodactyla; Balaenopteridae.